UACGUAGGUGACCAGCGUUGUCCGGAUUUACUGGGCGUAAAGAGCGCGCAGGCGGCCGUUCAAGUCGAGUGUGAAAGCCCCCGGCUCAACUGGGGAGGGUCACUCGAUACUGAUCGACUUGAAGGCAGGAGAGGGAAGCGGAAUUCCCGGUGUAGUGGUGAAAUGCGUAGAUAUCGGGAGGAACACCAGUGGCGAAGGCGGCGACCUGGGUCGAGACUUACGCUGAGGCGCGAAAGCGUGGGGAGCAAACAGG
This 253-nucleotide ribosomal RNA is filed under the name uncultured bacterium. Its description in RNAcentral is "partial 16S ribosomal RNA". It matches the Rfam family "Bacterial small subunit ribosomal RNA", at positions 524 to 776 of the family's 1533-position model. The record is from RNAcentral.